ACUUAAAUAGUUUAAAUAAAAUGUUAAUUUGUGAAAUUAAAGAUAUAAGGUUUUAUUUUAAGUA
RNAcentral lists this transfer RNA (64 nucleotides) under Gymnochthebius lividus. RNAcentral's name for it is "tRNA-His". The record is from RNAcentral. Lineage: Eukaryota; Metazoa; Arthropoda; Insecta; Coleoptera; Hydraenidae.